Small nuclear RNA from Bufo gargarizans (Asiatic toad), 186 nucleotides. RefSeq annotates it as U2 spliceosomal RNA. The transcript has a single exon. NCBI's taxonomy places the organism in Eukaryota, Metazoa, Chordata, Amphibia, Anura, Bufonidae. The record is from RefSeq and is a predicted model, not a curated record.
AUCUGUUCUCGGCUUUUAUGGUGUUAUCACCUGUAGUAUCUUUUCUUCUCAGUUUAAUAUCUCCUAUGUCCUCUAUCUGGCGACCAUAUAUCUAAUGUUUUUUUCGGACGGGAAGAGUGAAAAAGAGCUUGCUCUGUCCACUCCAUGCAUUGACCUACUCUACUGCAGUUCGCCGAUGUAUGUGAC